UGUACAUGACUACAUCUCAUGAAAUUGACAAUUCAAUCUUGUCGCCAGCCGUUGAUUGGCCAGAAUAUACUAUUACCACUGAUCAGAAAAUAUAGAACCUGGACAGAGCUUGUAUACACUGAUCACACCACCUGGGCAUCUGACAAAACCCUGUUCACUUAUUGGCCAAAAAUAGAUCACACCAUCGCCACUUGCAUGCAGGCCACAGUGUUUGCAUGACAGCUCACUAUUAAUAAUUUUUCUUUUUCACUGCUGUUCAGUUAAAAUUGUUACAAUACGCCUACUACUAUACAGUUGUGGCCAAGUUUUCAUGAAUAUUAAUCAGUUUCUCAUUUUCAUUAGCGUCGGUACAUGAAAACUUACAUCUUUCAAAGAAAUGUUUACUGAAUACUGUACCAACUGUUAUUCCAUCUGACCGGCGCGUUGUAACAUCGCCUUACUAGCAACGAUUAGCUCAGCGCUAACCACAAAAAAAACAACUAAAUAAAUAAAAAAAAAAAAUAAAUAAAAAAAAAAAAUUGUGUCCCUGAAGUAAUGCUAACCGGUACCCUUGGAGCACGAGUGUACAGCCACAGGAGAUUCUGAGGACUAUUUUGCUCCAGGAAGAGAAUUAAUAUUUUUAAGGUCUGUAUUACGUGGAAAUGAAUUAAGGCGGAACAUAUUUGAGAAUGGCUGCAUUGUAUAGCAGUAAUUUACAUAAAUUGUGUUCCUGUGUGUGUGUGAAGCUUGCUCUCAGACUCAGUAUACACUUGAAUUGAAAUAAAU
Paramuricea clavata is the source of this 765-nucleotide non-coding RNA. The record is from the annotation of a GenBank genome assembly. NCBI's taxonomy places the organism in Eukaryota, Metazoa, Cnidaria, Anthozoa, Malacalcyonacea, Plexauridae.